RNAcentral lists this ribosomal RNA (406 nucleotides) under uncultured bacterium. Its description in RNAcentral is "partial 16S ribosomal RNA". It matches the Rfam family "Bacterial small subunit ribosomal RNA", at positions 30 to 526 of the family's 1533-position model. The record is from RNAcentral.
AUUGAACGCUGGCGGCAGGCCUAACACAUGCAAGUCGAACGAGUGGCGGACGGGUGAGUAAUGUCUGGGAAACUGCCUGAUGGAGGGGGAUCACUACUGGAAACGGUAGCUAAUACCGCAUACCAUCAGAUGUGCCCAGAUGGGAUUAGCUAGUUGGUGGGGUAACGGCUCACCUAGGCGACGAUCCCUAGCUGGUCUGAGAGGAUGACGAGCAACACUGGAACUGAGACACGGUCCAGACUACUACGGGAGGCAGCAGUGGCGAAGAUUGCACGAUGGGCGCAAGCCUGAUGCAGCCAUGCAGCGUGUAUGAAGAAGGCCUUCGGGUUGUAAAGUACUUUCAGCGAGGAGACGUUACCCGCAGAAGAAGCACCGGCUAAAUCCGUGCCAGCAGCCGCGGUAAUAC